RNAcentral lists this ribosomal RNA (245 nucleotides) under uncultured bacterium. RNAcentral describes it as "partial 16S ribosomal RNA". It matches the Rfam family "Bacterial small subunit ribosomal RNA", at positions 524 to 768 of the family's 1533-position model. The record is from RNAcentral.
UACAGAGGUGGCGAGCGUUGUUCGGAUUUACUGGGCGUAAAGGGCGCGUAGGCGGCUUCGUAUGUCGGACGUGAAAUCUCACUGCCUAACGGUGAAAUUGCGUUCGAAACUGCGGAGCUAGAGUGCAGGAUAGGAGAGCGGAAUUCUUGGUGUAGCAGUGAAAUGCGUUGAUAUCAAGAGGAACACCGGUGGCGAAGGCGGCUCUCUGGAAUGCAACUGACGCUGAGGCACGAAAGUUGGGGGAG